CUAUUUCAGACGGGUGAGGUAUUUCGACUGCACGCACGCAGCAAGCAGGACCUUCACGUGGUCAGGCAGCGAGGGAAUACUUCCAGUAGUUGCUCUUGGAAGUGCAAGUGGUGUACGAAGCGGAAUCGGUGCAUCUUUCUAAUUAGGAACUGUGUAAAUUCUUCUACUCAACUGUUCUUGUAAUCUAAAUUCAGUAGAUGCUCUGUA
Prunus persica (peach) is the source of this 207-nucleotide long non-coding RNA. RefSeq lists it as uncharacterized. The transcript has 3 exons. NCBI's taxonomy places the organism in Eukaryota, Viridiplantae, Streptophyta, Magnoliopsida, Rosales, Rosaceae. The record is from RefSeq and is a predicted model, not a curated record.